UGUAUCUAUGAUGAUGAUUUUGGCUCCCUCUACUGAAUUCUCUGAGGAUAUCUGCCAUUCGUUACCCAAUUGUUUUCUGAGAUACU
Molecule: small nucleolar RNA, 86 nt
Organism: Pygocentrus nattereri (red-bellied piranha)
Lineage: Eukaryota; Metazoa; Chordata; Actinopteri; Characiformes; Serrasalmidae
Product: Small nucleolar RNA SNORD100
Source: Ensembl